UGCCCGGGACCCAGUUCAAGUAAUUCAGGAUAGGUUGUGUGCUGUCCAGCCUGUUCUCCAUUACUUGGCUCGGGGGCCGGCGCC
Molecule: microRNA precursor, 84 nt
Organism: Cavia aperea (Brazilian guinea pig)
Lineage: Eukaryota; Metazoa; Chordata; Mammalia; Rodentia; Caviidae
Product: microRNA 26b
Source: Ensembl